RNAcentral lists this long non-coding RNA (635 nucleotides) under Bos indicus x Bos taurus (hybrid cattle). RNAcentral describes it as "lncRNA (ENSBIXG00000028775.1)". Lineage: Eukaryota; Metazoa; Chordata; Mammalia; Artiodactyla; Bovidae. The record is from RNAcentral.
CCAAUCCCACCAGCAGGGGGCGCGCGAGAUGAAACAGUUCUGUCCUGGGAUGUACCACCGAGGGUAGCGGAAAGACCACCCACUCUGGAAGGUACCAUUGGGAGAGGGCGUGUGACAACAAGAGGGUCCCCUUACACCGGCGUCGGGCAUGGACCGCAGUUCCCAGCAGCGGCACUCAUGGCGCCACUAGGUCCAUCCCCACUCGCUCCUCUUGGUCUUCCCCACUGCUUUUGAAUCCGAGUGGACAACAGAAAUAUCAGUGGGCAAGUGGCGUCAACAUUGGGACCUAUAGAUCAAGAUUCCCCAAGCUGGAUGAACCUGUGGUUGACCAGCAGCCCAGUGUUGAGCAACCUCAACAAGAGGAACCGCCAGCUGAGAUUCAGGAUAUCACACUUGGGAAGGAGGAAGUAAAUGGAGAGGAUCCGGUGAAUCAUAAUGAAGAGAAGGAGAAGGAUGCCUCUGGAGAGUAAAAACGGAACCUGUCAACAAAGACAUGAAAAGAUGCUCAACCUCGCUCAUCAUGAGAAAUGAAAAUCAGGAGCCACAAUUAGCUAUCUUGUCACAGCAGUCAGAAUGGCCAUCAUCAGAACUCUACACAAAAUAAAUGUUGGAGUGGAUGUGGAGAAAAGGGAAUC